AUUCAUCCGUCGGGGGGCCCUUGGGGGCUGAGAGGUGCACGCACCGACCCGUCGAACCUGAUCCGGGCAAUACCGGCGUAGGGAACGGGUAGAAUGUGCAA
RNAcentral lists this non-coding RNA (101 nucleotides) under Roseovarius atlanticus. RNAcentral describes it as "TPP sequence". It matches the Rfam family "TPP riboswitch aptamer (THI element)". Rfam says of the family: Vitamin B(1) in its active form thiamin pyrophosphate (TPP) is an essential coenzyme that is synthesised by coupling of pyrimidine and thiazole moieties in bacteria. The previously detected thiamin-regulatory element, thi box was extended, resulting in a new, highly conserved RNA secondary structure, the THI element, which is widely distributed in eubacteria and also occurs in some archaea. Analysis of operon structures identified a large number of new candidate thiamin-regulated genes, mostly transporters, in various prokaryotic organisms. Lineage: Bacteria; Pseudomonadati; Pseudomonadota; Alphaproteobacteria; Rhodobacterales; Roseobacteraceae. The record is from RNAcentral.